AUCGGACACGAAGAAUAAGAAUUUAAGCGAGAGCUGACUUUCCAGGUGAAAAGGAAAGAAAAAAAAAGAGGGGAAAGAGAAUAAAAAAGAUUGCUUGCUGUGCGUCCUUUCGUACGUUUCUCACAGCUACCUGCCAUCUCGGUAUAUCAAUGUAUAUAACUGUUUAUGUGUGUGUGUGUGUUUGUGUGUGUGCCUAAGUAUAAUCGUCCUCCUCUACCAUAGAAUCGUCAGAGACUCGACCUCAGCACCGUCUCGACGCGACUACAGGAAUCGAGGGCAGGACUCUCGAGAUCGCUUCGUUCCUGUACGAACGGGGUCGUCCUCUCGUCGUAGUUAGGCAGAACUUCCGAAUAAAGAUCCAGAGAAAAGGAAUCAUCAUCGUUUCAGCUUCAGAACUCAAACUGCGCGGCCACUUUAUCGCUCGACCAACCAACCAAUCAACGAAUCAAUCAACCUAUCAACCAACCAACCAAUGAACCAAUCAACCAACGAAUCAACCAACGAACGUAUGAACGAACGAACGAACCAACCAACGAAUGAACCGAAUGCGACCGACCGCGACCGACCGAGCCUCGGCCGAGUAAGUUAUAUAGUAUGCUCCCUUUGCUCGGUAAAACAGUGAUCUACUACUACGGUCAUGUAGUAGAAGAGCUCGAAAUCAUCCACAGAUGUCAUCGAGUUUAAAUCACUCUUUCGAUUACUUUUGAAAAAUCUAACGUUCCCCAUAUAUAUAUAAAUGUAUGCAUGUAUUUAUGUACGUAUAUGUGUAUGUAAAUUUUUCGAUAUAUCGAAUUAACUCAACGCAAGCUCUCGUUUCAUUCGAGAAACCGCGAAAAUGUAAAUAUGGAAAAAAGAGUACGCAAAAAAAAAUAUAUAUAUAUAUAUGUAUAUAUAUAUAUAUA
Molecule: long non-coding RNA, 902 nt
Organism: Vespa crabro (European hornet)
Lineage: Eukaryota; Metazoa; Arthropoda; Insecta; Hymenoptera; Vespidae
Exons: 2
Source: RefSeq, a predicted model, not a curated record